RNAcentral lists this ribosomal RNA (253 nucleotides) under uncultured bacterium. RNAcentral describes it as "partial 16S ribosomal RNA". It matches the Rfam family "Bacterial small subunit ribosomal RNA", at positions 524 to 776 of the family's 1533-position model. The record is from RNAcentral.
UACGGAGGGUGCAAGCGUUAUCCGGAUUCACUGGGUUUAAAGGGUGCGUAGGUGGGCAAGUAAGUCAGUGGUGAAAUCUCCGGGCUUAACCCGGAAACUGCCAUUGAUACUAUUUGUCUUGAAUACUGUGGAGGUCAGCGGAAUAUGUCAUGUAGCGGUGAAAUGCUUAGAUAUGACAUAGAACACCAAUUGCGAAGGCAGCUCACUACACGGUCAUUGACACUGAGGCACGAAAGCGUGGGGAUCAAACAGG